CUAUGACAUUAAGUCAUGGCGGAAGGAG
This 28-nucleotide non-coding RNA is filed under the name unclassified sequences. Its description in RNAcentral is "L31-Firmicutes ribosomal protein leader". It matches the Rfam family "L31-Firmicutes ribosomal protein leader". The record is from RNAcentral.